This is a long non-coding RNA of Brassica napus (rape), 5638 nucleotides long. RefSeq lists it as uncharacterized. The record is from RefSeq and is a predicted model, not a curated record. The transcript has 2 exons. Lineage: Eukaryota; Viridiplantae; Streptophyta; Magnoliopsida; Brassicales; Brassicaceae.
CCAAUGAAUAUGGAAGCCAUGUUUCUCUACAAUGUUUAUGAGAGUGUAACUGAAAAUUAAAAUCAGUUAACAAUAAAUAGAUCAGAGGUAAAUCUGAUUUAGAAUUACUUUAUUUGAAUAGUGUCAAACUCAGACUUCCAACCAAAACUAAUCUAAUAGUAUUUUUUUUGUCCCUUUAGGGCUUUUUUAUUCAGUUUCCUGAUGUUUUCCAAUAAAAACCAUACUAUUUGGCAUGUUUGUAGCUUUACCAAAACACAGCUUUUCAUGUAAUGGGGUCGUUUAGGGUUUUGACGCUGUUAUAUGGUUAAGGCCUUAUUAAGGGAUUAUUUUCAUCCCAGAUGAAAAGUUAUUUCCUAACUCCAAAGUUUUAAACAUUUUUAUUGAGGUAUACGCUAAUAUCCAUAUUAUUGAGGGUCUGAAAUGGAUUUGCUCUUAAUUAAGGGGUUUCUCCAUUAAAUUAUAUUUGCUUGUUUUAAUUUUAUGAUUAGACCAUGCUUUAAAAAAUUAAGUGCGAAUAUUUUUUAGUUGAUUUAUACUGUUUUUCUUUCUCAAUAUAUUGUUUUGAACUUUUAAAUAAAUUAGAAUAUCUGAAGGUUCAUUCCACGUGAGAUCCAAGUCACAAUGUUUAGAUGACCUAAUGACGCAUUGAUAUCAAUAAAAAAAUAUUUAACCAGCCCACAGUUUUGGAGCAAUACAAUCUAGCGGAACUGUAUUCAUCAUUUGACCCUACUAUUGUUUUAAAAGUAUUCAUUAUAUCCAACCAUAUCCUAGUACGCUAGUACAUAUAUAAUAUGAUGGAAAUUUUUUUUUUUUUUUUUUUACUCGAAAGAGAGAUAUCAUUUCCAAAAGAACCCAAAAGGAAAAGUUUACAUCAUUUUCUACAGCAUAAUCGAAAACACAAAAUAGGGUGAAACUCAUGUGAAGCAGAAAUUUAUGGCAGUGUCUUUGUUAGUCUUGAUAGUCUUUCACGCUUGAUAGUCUUUCACGCUUGAAACUGAUUGAACCAUGUGGAGAUAAAAGAUUCCUGAGUACGAGAUCGAACUUGAUAAGAUAGGAAGAUUUCCUUAUCCAUUCCCAACAGCUUCGCCCUGAUUUGAACCUGAAUCUCUUUUACAAUUUGGGUGGCCGGUUUGUUCACACCCGAGUGUAAACGUGAGUUCCUCUCUCUCCAAAUGAAAUAAAUCGCCCCCUGAAAAACCAACUUCAAGAUAGCUCUAACCCGAGGUCUUACUGUGACAUUUAACAACCAGUGAACAAUUUGUUGUAAGGUAGAUGGGUAAGCCAUUCGAACCCUCGCCAGCAACAAAUUCCAGACUGCAUAGUAUUGUUCAAUAGUAUUGUUCAUCUUUUACAUAGCAUUGUUAUUCAGUAAACCGGAAGCUCCAGAUUUUAUGGAGAAAAUUAGAAAUACCAUGAGUCCAUUACGUACGGGUAAACACUAUGAUAAUAUAAGCAUCACUUUGCUGGUAAAAGUAUAUUACAAUUUGUCAAGGUCUUGCAUAGGUAGUAAUAAUAUAUAUAAAACGAUGCCCUUCCAGACAGGUUACGAAGUUUAAAAAUAAUAAUCAUUUGAUUUAGUUAUAAGCAUUCAUGUUCCCAUGUGGACACAUGUAAUUGAUCUAAAGUCACUGAUUAAGCAAGAUGGGAAAAUAAACAAGGAAUAUUCGUAGUAUACAAAUUUGUAUGGCCUAAUAAAAAUUUCACUCGAAAAGGAAAAUAAGUUUAUACUCACAUAAAUUAUUUUAGAACUUCAAAUUUCAAGAGUUGUUUUAAUGGAAAUACAAUUUUGGCUAGAAAUUGAAAUAUUUGGUUUAAUUGUAAGGUUAGUUAUCGUCAAAGGAAUAGGUUGCGGUUGUAGAUAGAUAUGGGUGAUGAUUGUUUAUGGUUCUUGUUUUCUCAUUCGCACAUCUACAAAACUAAAAUCUUUUAAAUAAAGUUUGCUUUAGAAUUACUAAUUUUGCUGUCAAGAUUCGAGAAAAGAGUUUUAUAGAACAAAUAAACGAAAACUAUAUACUAUCUCAGUACCAACUUGGAUUAAUGCAUAGUUCCGACUGGUGCAUAAAACUUACAUUUGUUUAACCAAACGCAAUAUUAUUUUGUAAAUUUCGAGGGGUUCCAGCAAAUUGGAAAAGAUAUAUAUAUCCAAUACCGUAUAUGUGAUUUCUCUUGAUCGAGUUUUGAGUCAAGACUCUUGACCUAAUAGACCAUUUAAUGACCCAAAAAGUCAUAUCUAAAGAGGGACAAAUACUAUAUUAAAUUUUUUGCUAUGAAAAUUUGUUAGUAGAAAAUACUGGAGCAUGGAAUAUAAAACCAAAUAUAACCUAUGGAAACGUGGACCGAUGUAAAUGUACCAGGUUGUCUGCCAUGAUAUGGGUAGAUAAGAAAAUAAUUGUCUGCAAAGUUCUUUUGUAUUGACAACUGUUAAAUGUUUCUUUUAAAAAAAAAAUUGCCCAGGCGGAUUCUUUAGAAAAAAAAACUAAAAUCAGAAGCAUUCUAUUUUUCAUAUAGAUAAGAACGAUUCAAUUUUGUCCGGAGAAUUAUCUCAUUGAAUCAGAACUUGUUAUAGUGAAACGGAUAGCUGAUAAAAAAUUGAGUAUUUCUAACCAUUUUGUAUAUCUUACUUACAAAGAAUACUAAAUACUUAAGAUAUUUAUUUCUAUUAUACUAUAUGUUUUACUAAAAUUAAUAUUAGUUAUAUUUUUAGGUUUUGUAAUAUUUUAGAUAUAAAAAUUUAUGUUGAACCGGGCCUGACUAUAUGUUAUCAAAGUGCUUUGGGGUUUUAUUAUACCCAAAAACUCCACAAUAAAUCGCAUGUUUAAUAUGAAACAACACAUAUAUUGUUUUUCAAAAAAAAAAACAGCACACAAAUUGAUAAUUUACUGCAUAUAGUUUUUAUCAUUGUACGAGUAAUUAAUUAUAUUAUAGCUCAGCACUUUAUCCAAACAUAUAAAUAUUUAGUAAGGCACAAGUAACAAAACGUAUAGCAGUCUAAACUUAUGAAUGAUUUAUUGUUAUAAAUUCUUACAGUGUUAUGUAAUUCUUUUAUAAAUUGAUUAAAUCAUAUUGUAUAUCAUUUUUUGCAAAGUUGUAUAUAAUGUUUUUUUUUUUUAAGUUAUUUAUAAAUUAAGCAAUUAAUAACCUUACAGUAAUAUAAAAUAUAUACAUUAACUAAUCCCAAAAUAACUUCAUUGCUAUGAUUUUUUAAAUCAUGAUCAUAAAAUAAUAGCUCAUUUUGUCACUACUAUUUUUUGCCCAGAUUUUAUUCAGUUAUUAUAUUUUGUAUUAUUAUUCUAAGAUCCGAAACUAAUCGGCAAUAGUUAAUACAAUUUUUACACAUCAGCAGAGCUUCAAAAAUAAAAAUAUACCAGCUUUAUGAGAAAGACAUUACUUUCAUGGCAAAAGAGAGAAACGAAAAUUGUGGGAUCCAUGAGAAUGAAGCACAUUUUUGUCCGUUUACGUUUUUUUGUUUUAAAACUAAUAAACUUAUUAAUGUUUUCUAACAUAUAUAAUAAAAAUGGUAAUAUACAUAGUGGUUUUGUUUCUAAUUUUAUAUAGGGUUGUGGCUUUUGAUGAUCUUCAGGUGAAAGUGUAGGAGACAGGGAAUCUCUCUUUGUUGAUGUGUAGUGUACUAUGUUUAUCAACUUGCCCUGAGCACUUUACGUAUAUACACACUCAUUUCCAAGUCAAUGGAUAUAUUAACUAGUAUAUAUUAAACAUUGUUGUUUAUCUAAUGCUUAUAAUGUUAUAUAGUUGGUCGAUGUAGUUAAUUGUGUAUACUCUUGUUUGGUUGAGAAUCGAGACGAUAAGUUAAAACCCACCAUCAUAUGGAAACAAUUUGUUUGUUACACUAUCCCAGAAAUUUUGUAACGAAGUCUUUUUUAUCAGAGAUGCAAAUCAAGACAUUCGUUGAAAUUUAUUCAUGAAUUUAUAUAUUUUAGGAAAUUAAUAUAUAGCACAGUGAUCAUCUUUUUUGGGAGAACGUGCUGAACUUAUCAGUUCAUCAUUCACCAAGACCAAUAUUUUUGCAGUGUGGGAACACUCGCUAAGUCGCAAUAUUUAAUCUCAUGGACGAACGCAUAGUAUAACGAUAAACUACAUGUAAACACCGCAUCAUAUUAAAUAUUCAAAUAAAAUUAUGACAAUACUUAUACACACAUUUUAUGUAUAUAUAUAAAAGAAAUUUCUAUUUUUCUCGAAAAAAUGGAUUAUAACUUGAUGAUACUUGGUAACUAAAGAAUUUGUAGGGCUAGAAUCCAAAUAAACUUUUAGGUUUAGAGACAAUCAACCAUACCAUCAAGAAACCAAACCAUACCAUCAAGAAACCAUAAACAUGGUUCGGUUCCUUUCGGUUUAGCUAGUUUACCUAAGCUAUUGCGUCUCUAUAAAAUACUCACUCCGAGCUUCUUCUUCACUUGCCCCUUUCACUCCUUCUCUCUAACUAGUCGUGUGCUUAUAAAUAUAGACAUAUAUGUAUGCAUGUAUAAGUACUCUUCAAUCGUAAAUAAAUAAUUUUAAAAUUCUGUUAAGCAUUUAUGAUAGAAAUGUACAAGAUUGGUUUGUUGUGUCUGAAUCUGUACGGGUCGACAGAUCGGAACAUAACUAACCAGUCAGUAUUGUAUAUUAAUUUAAUAUAUCUUCCACCUAUAUGCUUCGUUCUUCAACAAUCAUCGCAUAUUUUUUCCUGGAAUUAUGUUUCGUUUUCAAUAUAUUGGUCCCUAAAUUGAUUAUUUUUUGUAAUUUCUUAUGGUAUAAAACAAAAUAUUCCAUAUUUUUUUAUAUGACGAGAAAACAUUUACAGGUUGACACGUCAGCCCUUGGAUUCUGGAACGUAUUCUCUAUACUUCACACCUAUAUGUACUUGCUUCAUCUCAGACUGCUUUUCUCCUUGUUUCUUCUUCAGGUUUCAUCUUCUCAGAGUAGAUAGUUAUCGAGGAGAUUAACCAGAUCUUUUUCUACUUAUUUAAUUUGCGAUUAUAUUUCUGAUUGUUCAAUCAACUUUAUAUUUGUUCCAUUAAUUCGUACAAUCUAUUUCUUGUGUGUGUGUGUGUGAAUCUGAUACAAGCUCUCGGAGGAUCCGUGGGGAAAGUUCAUCAGUCGCUUUUUGUAGGUGCAGCACCAUCAAGAUUCACAUGGAAAUUGAAAAACCCCUAAUCUUAUUAAUUAGGGUUUUGAUAUGUAUAUAUGAGAAUCUUGAUGAUGCUGCAUCAACAACAGACGGCUACCAAAUACCUAAAGCUACAGAAAGAAACCACUUAUAUUAUUACAUGAAGUCUGGAUCUUGGGAUAUGAUACUCUGUAGUCCAUAUUCAAAUCAUCGGGGUCCUUAUCUGUGAUGCAAUGAUCAAGAACAACAAGAUAUUGAACACAAAUCGAAUACUUGGGCCAGUUUAACUGGUUUUACUAUCUCUUAUCGUCUCUAGACAUUUUAUAUAUUGUCUUCCACAACUCUCUUGUACUAACACUUAUUUGCCAUUGUUUCAGCUUCUAUUUCUGAGUUAUCACUUGUACUCUAUUCACUAUCAUUGUUCUAAAUUUGUAAUAUUAUAAAUAAUGUUUUUAUGCCAAAUCAAAUCAAACAUAAUGGAGUGUUGUACAUUGUACCAUAACUUUGUUUUUAAGUGGCUCAACUUGAGAAAGA